RNAcentral lists this ribosomal RNA (253 nucleotides) under uncultured bacterium. RNAcentral describes it as "partial 16S ribosomal RNA". It matches the Rfam family "Bacterial small subunit ribosomal RNA", at positions 524 to 776 of the family's 1533-position model. The record is from RNAcentral.
UACGUAGGCAGCAAGCGUUGUUCGGAAUUACUGGGCGUAAAGAGUGUGUAGGCGGUGUUCUAAGUCUGUUGUGAAAUCUCCCGGCUUAACUGGGAGGGUGCGGCGGAAACUGGAAUGCUAGAGGAUGGGAGAGGUAAGCGGAAUUCCUGGUGUAGCGGUGAAAUGCGUAGAUAUCUGGAGGAAUACCGGUGGCGAAGGCGGCAUCCUGGACCGACAUUGACGCUGAUGAGCGAAAGCUAGGGGAGCAAACGGG